Molecule: ribosomal RNA, 1212 nt
Filed under: Phaeoacremonium vibratile
Lineage: Eukaryota; Fungi; Ascomycota; Sordariomycetes; Togniniales; Togniniaceae
Description: eukaryotic LSU rRNA
Rfam family: Eukaryotic large subunit ribosomal RNA
Source: RNAcentral
AUUGCCCCAGUAACGGCGAGUGAAGCGGCAACAGCUCAAAUUUGAAAUCUGGCCUCGGCCCGAGUUGUAAUUUGCAGAGGAUGCUUCUGGCGCGGUGCCUUCCGAGUUCCCUGGAACGGGACGCCAUAGAGGGUGAGAGCCCCGUAUGGUUGGAUACCUAGCCUGUGUGAAGCUCCUUCGACGAGUCGAGUAGUUUGGGAAUGCUGCUCAAAAUGGGAGGUAUAUCUCUUCUAAAGCUAAAUACCGGCCAGAGACCGAUAGCGCACAAGUAGAGUGAUCGAAAGAUGAAAAGCACCUUGAAAAGGGGGUUAAACAGCACGUGAAAUUGUUGAAAGGGAAGCGCCUAUGACCAGACUUGUGCCCGGCGGAUCACCCAGCGUUCUCGCUGGGGCACUCCGCCGGGUCCAGGCCAGCAUCGGUUUUCGCCGGGGGAUAAAGGCUCUGGGAACGUAGCUCCUCCGGGAGUGUUAUAGCCCUCUGCGUAAUACCCUGGCGGGGACCGAGGUACGCGCUCCGCAAGGAUGCUGGCGUAAUGGUCAUCAGCGACCCGUCUUGAAACACGGAUCAAGGAGUCGUCCAUUAGAGCGAGCGUUUGGGUGUCAAACCCGCACGCGUAAUGAAAGUGAACGUAGGUGAGAGCUUCGGCGCAUCAUCGACCGAUCCUGAUGUCCUCGGAUGGAUUUGAGUAUGAGUUUUACUGGACGGACCCGAAAGAUGGUGAACUAUGCCUGUAUAGGGUGAAGCCAGAGGAAACUCUGGUGGAGGCUCGCAGCGGUCUGACGUGCAAAUCGAUCGUCAAAUAUGGGCAUGGGGGCGAAAGACUAAUCGAACCAUCUAGUAGCUGGUUACCGCCGAAGUUUCCCUCAGGAUAGCAGUGUUGAUCUUCAGUUUUAUGAGGUAAAGCGAAUGAUUAGGGACUCGGGGGCGCUAUUUAGCCUUCAUCCAUUCUCAAACUUUAAAUAUGUAAGAAGCCCUUGUUACUUAGUUGAACGUGGGCAUUCGAAUGUACCAACACUAGUGGGCCAUUUUUGGUAAGCAGAACUGGCGAUGCGGGAUGAACCGAACGCGGGGUUAAGGUGCCGGAGUGGACGCUCAUCAGACACCACAAAAGGUGUUAGUACAUCUUGACAGCAGGACGGUGGCCAUGGAAGUCGGAAUCCGCUAAGGACUGUGUAACAACUCACCUGCCGAAUGUACUAGCCCUGAAAAUGG